GCCCUCUUGGCUCAGUUGGUUAAGGUGCUUGAUCUAGUAUGCAAUUAUGUAAUCUAGGUCAGCUCUCUGUUUUGGGUUCGAAUCCCAGAAGUGUCA
Non-coding RNA from Mycena alexandri, 96 nucleotides. The record is from the annotation of a GenBank genome assembly. NCBI's taxonomy places the organism in Eukaryota, Fungi, Basidiomycota, Agaricomycetes, Agaricales, Mycenaceae.